This 468-nucleotide ribosomal RNA is filed under the name uncultured bacterium. Its description in RNAcentral is "partial 16S ribosomal RNA". It matches the Rfam family "Bacterial small subunit ribosomal RNA", at positions 28 to 507 of the family's 1533-position model. The record is from RNAcentral.
GACGAACGCUGGCGGCGUGCUUAACACAUGCAAGUCGAACGGAAAGGCCCUGCUUUUGUGGGGUGCUCGAGUGGCGAACGGGUGAGUAACACGUGAGUAACCUGCCCUUGACUUUGGGAUAACUUCAGGAAACUGGGGCUAAUACCGGAUAGGAGCUCCUGCUGCAUGGUGGGGGUUGGAAAGUUUGGGCGGUUGGGGAUGGACUCGCGGCUUAUCAGCUUGUUGGUGGGGUAGUGGCUUACCAAGGCUUUGACGGGUAGCCGGCCUGAGAGGGUGACCGGCCACAUGGGGACUGAGAGACGGCCCAGACUGCUACGGGAGGCAGCAGUGGGGCAUAUUGCACAAUGGGCGGCAGCCUGAUGCAGCAACGCCGCGUGCGGGAUGACGGCCUUCGGGUUGUAAACCGCUUUCGCCGGUGACGAAGCGUGAGUGACGGUAAUGGGUAAAGAAGCACCGGCUAACUACGUG